GCUUGUCUCAAAGAUUAAGCCAUGCAUGUCUAAGUAUAAACUAUUUUAUACUGUGAAACUGCGAAUGGCUCAUUAUAUCAGUUAUAGUUUAUUUGAUGGUCCUUGCUACUUGGAUAACCGUAGUAAUUCUAGAGCUAAUACAUGCAUUAAACCCCGACUUCUGGAAGGGGUGUAUUUAUUAGAUGGAAACCAAUGCGGGGUAACCCGGAAUAUGGUGAUUCAUAAUAACUUUCGGAUCGAUUUAUCGAUGCAUCAUUCAAGUUUCUGCCCUAUCAGCUUUGGAUGGUAGGGUAUUGGCCUACCAUGGCUUUAACGGGUAACGGGGAAUCAGGGUUCGAUUCCGGAGAGGGAGCCUUAAAAACGGCUACCACAUCCAAGGAAGGCAGCAGG
Molecule: ribosomal RNA, 390 nt
Filed under: uncultured Chrysophyceae
Lineage: Eukaryota; Chrysophyceae
Description: partial small subunit ribosomal RNA
Rfam family: Eukaryotic small subunit ribosomal RNA
Source: RNAcentral